Trematomus bernacchii (emerald rockcod) is the source of this 693-nucleotide long non-coding RNA. RefSeq lists it as uncharacterized. NCBI's taxonomy places the organism in Eukaryota, Metazoa, Chordata, Actinopteri, Perciformes, Nototheniidae. The transcript is spliced from 4 exons. The record is from RefSeq and is a predicted model, not a curated record.
CUCUGAAGACUUCAGACACAAAGACAGGACACGUCUCUUGUCUCCGUUUGGAUUUUACUGGACUGAAGACUCAAAAAGCGAGAAGAUGCUCUUCAUCCUCCCGCUGCUCCUCUUCCUCACCUCCUGUGUCUCUGGAACAUUUGUAGUGAAUGUGACUCAGACUUCCUAUCAGGCAGAGGAGAACCAGAACAUCACCCUGGAGUGGACCUUCAGCACCAGAAGAGAAACUUCACUCAGAUCCAUCUCUACUCUCUGUAAGAUGUUUACUGAGAGCAGACCCUACUUCCUGUUUAAUCUAAAUGAAGGUGUUGAAUCCCCAGAGUCUCAGGAUCCAGAGUUUUCAGGACGAGUCCAGUGGGACAAAGACGUCCUCACAGAAGGACGCCUCACACUUCAUGUCUCCAGACUCAGGACCAGUGACUCUGGGUUUUAUGUUUGUGACAUAUUCGUCAGACCUGAUGGGAGUAACUCUAGGAGAUGCUGGCUGAAUGUGACUGCUGCUGCUGAGCUCCAAACUCAGAGACCAACAGAGAGUCCACAAGAAGUGAGAGAGGGAAACAUCUGGAUCUACGUUACAGGGACACUGUUUUCUUUAAUUCUUUCUCUUAUUUCUUUUUUUUUUAAUUUAUAUGCAAUGGACUUAUAUGUUUCUUUUUAUUCAAAAAUAUUGUAUUCUCCUUUUUUUUAUUUUUC